This 1470-nucleotide ribosomal RNA is filed under the name metagenome. RNAcentral's name for it is "bacterial SSU rRNA". It matches the Rfam family "Bacterial small subunit ribosomal RNA". The record is from RNAcentral.
AGAGUUUGAUCAUGGCUCAGGACGAACGCUGGCGGCACGCUUAACACAUGCAAGUCGAACGAGAGAAGAGGAGCUUGCUUUUCUGAUCUAGUGGCGGACGGGUGAGUAACACGUGAGCAAUCUGCCUUUCAGAGGGGGAUACCGAUUGGAAACGAUCGUUAAUACCGCAUAACAUAAUUGAACCGCAUGAUUUGAUUAUCAAAGAUUUAUCGCUGAAAGAUGAGCUCGCGUCUGAUAAGCUAGUUGGUAAGGUAACGGCUUACCAAGGCGACGAUCAGUAGCCGGACUGAGAGGUUGAUCGGCCACAUUGGGACUGAGACACGGCCCAGACUCCUACGUGAGGCAGCAGUGGGGAAUAUUGCACAAUGGAGGAAACUCUGAUGCAGCGAUGCCGCGUGAGGGAAGAAGGUUUUAGGAUCGUAAACCUCUGUCUUCAGGGACGAAAAAAGACGGUACCUGAGGAGGAAGCUCCGGCUAACUACGUGCCAGCAGCCGCGGUAAUACGUAGGGAGCGAGCGUUGUCCGGAAUUACUGGGUGUAAAGGGAGCGUAGGCGGGAUCGCAAGUCAGAUGUGAAAACUAUGGGCUUAACCCAUAAACUGCAUUUGAAACUGUGGUUCUUGAGUGAAGUAGAGGUAAGCGGAAUUCCUAGUGUAGCGGUGAAAUGCGUAGAUAUUAGGAGGAACAUCAGUGGCGAAGGCGGCUUACUGGGCUUUAACUGACGCUGAGGCUCGAAAGCGUGGGGAGCAAACAGGAUUAGAUACCCUGGUAGUCCACGCCGUAAACGAUGAUUACUAGGUGUGGGGGGACUGACCCCUUCCGUGCCGCAGCAAACGCAAUAAGUAAUCCACCUGGGGAGUACGACCGCAAGGUUGAAACUCAAAGGAAUUGACGGGGGCCCGCACAAGCAGUGGAGUAUGUGGAUUAAUUCGAAGCAACGCGAAGAACCUUACCAGGUCUUGACAUCGUAUGCAUAGCUCAGAGAUGAGUGAAAUCUCUUCGGAGACAUAUAGACAGGUGGUGCAUGGUUGUCGUCAGCUCGUGUCGUGAGAUGUUGGGUUAAGUCCCGCAACGAGCGCAACCCUUACUGUUAGUUGCUACGCAAGAGCACUCUAGCAGGACUGCCGUUGACAAAACGGAGGAAGGUGGGGAUGACGUCAAAUCAUCAUGCCCCUUAUGACCUGGGCCUCACACGUACUACAAUGGCUGUCAACAGAGGGAAGCAAAGCCGCGAGGUGGAGCGGACCCCUAAAAGCAGUCUUAGUUCGGAUUGUAGGCUGCAACCCGCCUACAUGAAGUCGGAAUUGCUAGUAAUCGCAGAUCAGCAUGCUGCGGUGAAUACGUUCCCGGGCCUUGUACACACCGCCCGUCACGCCAUGGGAGUCGGUAACACCCGAAGCCUGUGGUCUAACCGCAAGGAGGACGCAGUCGAAGGUGGGAUUGAUGACUGGGGUGAAGUCGUAACAAGGUA